Molecule: ribosomal RNA, 522 nt
Filed under: uncultured bacterium
Lineage: Bacteria
Description: bacterial SSU rRNA
Rfam family: Bacterial small subunit ribosomal RNA
Source: RNAcentral
AAUAGAUACCCGGGUAGUCCACGCUGUAAACGAUGGGUACUAGAUUUGGUGGGUCUUGACCCCCGCUGAAUCGGCGCUAACGCAAUAAGUACCCCGCCUGGGAAGUACGGUCGCAAGACUAAAACUCAAAGGAAUUGACGGGGGCCCGCACAAGCGGUGGAUCAUGUGGUUUAAUUCGAAGCAACGCGAAGAACCUUACCUGGAUUUGACAUCCUCUGGACAUCCGUAGAGAUACGGCCUUCGUAGCAAUACGACAGAGAGACAGGUGCUGCAUGGCUGUCGUCAGCUCGUGUGGUGACAUGUUGGGUUAAGUCCCGCAACGAGCGCAACCCUUGUCCUUAGUUGCCAUCAUUUAGUUGGGCACUCUAAGGAGACUGCCGGCGUCAAGCCGGAGAAGUGGGAUGACGUCAAGUCCUCAUGGCCCUUAUGUCCGGGGCUACACACGUGCUACAAUGGUCGGUACAAAGCGCAGCAAGCUGCGAGAGUCAGCCAAUCGCAAAAGCCGGCCUCAGUACGGAUUGC